This 222-nucleotide ribosomal RNA is filed under the name uncultured bacterium. RNAcentral describes it as "partial 16S ribosomal RNA". It matches the Rfam family "Bacterial small subunit ribosomal RNA", at positions 109 to 334 of the family's 1533-position model. The record is from RNAcentral.
AGUAAUACAUCGGAACGUGUCUUCUAGUGGGGGAUAACUGCCCGAAAGGGCAGCUAAUACCGCAUGAGACCUGAGGGUGAAAGCGGGGGAUCGCAAGACCUCGCGCUGGAAGAGCGGCCGAUGUCCGAUUAGCUAGUUGGUGAGGUAAAGGCUCACCAAGGCGACGAUCGGUAGCUGGUCUGAGAAGACGACCAGCCACACUGGGACUGAGACACGGCCCAG